UCUAGGGGUACCAGGAUCAAGUUCAAGGUCCCCAGCACAGUGCGAAUGGCUUUUCAAGACCUGACUCCAUCCACCUUUCCAAACGCAUCUCUCCAUUCACAAGAACAGCCCCAAGUGUUUGAUGCUACUGGAUCCAUUUCUCAGCUGGAUGGAAUCCUCAUCCCUAUUUUACAGAUGAAGGCAAGGAACCCGCCCUUUAAGUAAACAUGCCAGAACUGGGUCACUCUGAAUGAGUAUCCUCUCUCCUACCUACAGCAUCCUCUUGGCACUCUCAGUGCUUGUGGCAGAAGUGACCUUGGCCAUGGAUGUCGGUGUCAGGGGCACCUCCACUUACGUGUCCUCAGUGCUCACUACUCUUUUACGGCAGAUUUCAUUUUUGAAAUCAGUUCCAAGUCAUUUGGAGCAAAAUCUGGUAAAAGAAGGAAGAGGAAAUUUGGACACAGAUGUGAUGCAGAGGGAGGAUGAUGUGAAGACACAGGGAGAAGCCGGCCAUCUACAAGCCAAGGCCUGGAACAGACCCUUCCCUCAGAGCCCUCAGGAGGAACCAACCCUGCAGACAUCUUGAUCUUGGAAUUCCAACCUCCAGAGCUGUGAUGUUCACUUUGUCACUUGAUUACUGCGGUAGCGGCUUGUCCUCUGCAAUUCCUAGUGUCACAGACUCUAAUCCUAAUUGUAAAGUUCUCAGAACACCGACUGUUCCCUGCUUCCUGCUUCUGUCUCCGCUGCAGCCGCAGCUGAGGCGCUGGUUCCUGCUGUGGUUUCUACCCUGGUGUGUUGUGAUUCUCGGGAUCUGUCUACCUGUCUCUCCAAUUUUGGGAGAAGCACUUCGCCCUGUGACCUCAGUUCUCUGAUGGAUCUAAGAAGACUUGUUGAUUUUUAGUUUGUUCACUUUUUACUUGAGAGGACAGAGUGAUGACUUCCAAACAACUUAUAUGCUGGACCAGAAACUGGAAGUCUCCUCCUGACAUUUUUGGAUGUUCUAAAGUAUUUCUCUGCCAGAAGAGGACCAGUAAAGUUAGAAAAACCCCAUUCAAUGUGGCAGAUUAAUUUCAUAUGUGUUUAGUAGGUUUUAUUUGAGACAACCUGAAAGACUGGCAAUGACAUGGGGUUUGGAAACCUGAUGUGACUGAUGUCUGCCUGUGUGAUUUUGGACAUGUUACUCUCUCUGAGGGUCAGUUUUCUAAUACGUAAAAUGGAGGUUGGAUUAUACUUCUUAUAGAAUUGCCUUCCUGUUGUUAUUUUUAUUCCUAAUUUAGAGAAUAGGAGGCAGCUGGGCAGGAUAGUGAGGAAAUCUCUUCCUUUACUGUGUCCUCACUUGGUUUUGUGCCCUGCUCUACUUGUGUACUUCUAACAGUAACUGUCUUUACUACCUCUUCUAUCUUUGAUGUUAAGCCUUCAGUGUCAUCCUUGUCUGUAUAUAAAGAUAGAAUCUAUAGGGCUUUGCUAUAGUAUUACAUUCUUCCACGAGCAUCAAGGAAACCCUGACAUAGACAUCUGGCUGAAGUUUGCAAAUUGAUGAUUUCUGUUUCCAGCCAAUUUUCUUUUCUGAGUCAGAAUAAUUUGAAACUCCCUAUAUGUUCCAUUGGUACUAUGUUAAGUAGCAUCUCGAUUUCAGUGACCAUAUUAGUAGUCAGGACAUUACUGAGGAUAGAGUUACGUUUGGCUGUAGGAAUUCCACAGCUUCUUUCCCUGUGUCUUGCUAAGUGAAGUACUUAGACUCUCAGUUCCUCAUUAUGAAGAUUCUAGGACACACCCCGAUGAGUACGUUCAAUUUGUUUCUAGCAACCUUUCCUUGGCAGAUGAGCUAAAAGGUCAACUGUUAAUUAAGGUGGAGCAAAAAUAAGGUGAGCACUGGCUGAGUCAUGGGUUGGGACUUGGAGCACUUCAAAGCUGGAGAUGGUUGGGUCCAAGUAAGUUGGAUCUGUUUCCUCCUGUUGCUGUUUCCAAAGGCCCUCAUGGAGGAGGGGAGGAAAUGAGAACCAAGAGGCGAAAGACCAAAGGAUGAGGAGAGGAGAGGGCAAGAGAUAAAGAGGAAAGAUAAGAAGGAAACUAAACUUUAUCGGGUGUUCCUCAGGUAUCAGUAACCAUCUUAUGCAUUUCAUUCUAUUGCUCCUCAGAGCCAUCCUCUAGAGUAGCGAUCACUCCUGUUUGUCCAGUAUCUGCUUUGUGCCAUGUACUGUGUGAUGGGCCUGGUGAUGUCAUGAUGAAUACUUCAUUCACAUCUGCCUGAACAGGAGGUGUUGACAGUCUAGUAGGGGACUCUGACAUUGAGAGAGUUUCCAUACAGGGCACUAAGUGCCUUGGGAGUGCCUGAAGAGUUUUCAGGCAAAAGUAAUUAGUAUUGCCUGGGGGAAGUAGGUCUGGAAAGAAUAAGGUGCAUGUGGAGAGGGUCCUCUAAGUGGAGGGAGAGGUAUAUGCAAACAUGAGGGCAUAGAACAUCAUCAUAUAAUUUGCUGUGGCUGGAACACAGGGAGUAGAGGAAGGGAGUGGCCUGAUCAUGGUGGGUCCUCUGGGCCAGCCCAAGUUUGGGCUUCAUGAUGAGGGAGAAAUGCCUCAGCAGAGAAACAACUUGGUAGCAUCUGUCUUUUAGGCAGGCUCCUCUAGCAGCAUCGUGCAGGAUGGGUUGGAAGUUGUUGAGAAUGAAGUGCAGGUGAUUCCAGAGAAAAGUCUGUUUAAACAGUCUAGACACAGACUAAUACAUGUCUGAAUAAGACAUUGAGGGUGAGAAAAUUCAUGGACUCCAGUGACUGUUAUAAAACAAUAGAACUUAGUGACUGAUUGUAUGGUGAUGGGAAGGAUGAGGGAAAUCCAAGAUAAUAGUCAAACUUCUGGGUAGGGUAAUUAGGAUCAGAGUAGCCCACUACCUUGUGUUAGAAAUUGGUCCUGGCAAUCACCCCUUGCUGCCUCUCUAAUGCAGUUGCCAAGGAAGCAACAGUGACAAAAUUGAUCCUUUUGGAACCAGUACUGGGGCUGGAGCAUGCAGAUAAGGGUCUAUCUCCUCUUCCUCUGAGUCUCAAUAUUGGAACACCCUACCUAGAUGUGGAAGAGAAGGGUCAAGCUGGCCAAGUCAACUUGCCUGUCCAACCACAUUCACAAAUGAGAUGGAAGAGCAAGACAGUGGAGGAUACACAGAAUUUAGUUUACAGUAAUCUCAUGCCAUCACUCAAUGUGCUUCAGUCUAUGUCUUGGAUUAGGACCAAUCUGUUUUGUAACUCUUCCACUUUGAGUGGGGUGGAUGGAAAAGUAGGAGGCAAAUGAAAAAAAGGAGCAAGAAUUUCCUCUUCUAUAUCCUGGAGAAGAAAUUUAGGAGAAACUGGCUUGAGAUGGGGAGAUGAUAAUCAUUUCAUUUUUUUUUAAGAUUUUAUUUAUUUAUUUGACAGAGAGAGAGAGAGAGGGAGAGAGAGCACAAGCAGGGGGAGCGGCAGGCAGAGGGAGAAAGAGAAGUGGGGCUCAAUCCCAGGACCCAGGGACCAUGACCUGAACUGAAGGCAGACACUCAACUGACUGAACCACCCAGGUGCCCCAAUCAUUUCAUUUUGAUAUGCAGAGUCUGAGAUGACGGUAGAACAUCCAGGUAGUAAGGUCCAUUACAAAGUUGAAAAUAAGAUUCUAGAGCUCAGGAGGGAGGUCUGGGCUAGAAAAACGGGUUAUGAUAUUAUCUGAAAAUAGGUGAUAGUUGAAGUCUUAUCUGUGGUUCACAACAGGGGACGCAGAGUAAACACCGGCAGCAUGCAAUUUAAGGGACAGGUGGGGAAGAUCAGUCAUGAAGGUGAGUGCUGAGAAAUUAAUGGGUAGGAGAAAAACCUGGCGAGUGAGGUCUGGGAAGCUACAGGAAGAAAGUCCUCAAGAAGAGUUGUCAGUAGGGCAUAAGGACAGGUAUGGAGCACCAGGAGAAUAGCUUGGAACAGCUACGAAGAAAAGGUGGAAAGAACAGAAAGAAGAUAAAUAAAAGGCAUUUUCAAGCUGCCAUGAGAGCAUGGCUGAAAAUGGAACCCCACCAAUCAUGGUGCCAGUCCCCAUGAAAAUGCCACUUCAGCAACAGUCAAAUGUCAGAUUACUAGGAUUGGGGAUUCGCUGGGUGAAUGUGGUGGGAGGACAAAGGGAUGGGGAGCUGAAAAUGUUGGGUUCCAGUUCAAAAAGAAGGGAAGACAUUUCAAGUGGGAUUGGGAGACUCUAAUAGGCUGCAGUUCUAGCGACUGCCUUGGGGUCUCUAUGCAGUAAGAGACUAGUGCAAAGGCAGGAAGAUGAAGAGGUGGUGGUUUAUAGACUGAAAUGUUGGAGUUUAAGGUUUCAGAGGCAAAACUGCUCCUCAUGAUGACAAGGGCCACUGUGGCCAUGGGAGUAGAUUGUAGAGGGGGGAGGGAGUUGGAGUUUAUUGUCACUGAGGCUUGGGACUAAGAGGCUAGUGUGUUAGGUGUGCUGCCCAUGUGGACACUGAAUUCAUUUAAGAUGAUAGCAGGUCUAAGGUGGAGAGGAAGACAACCAGGUAUCAAAAUACUUGAUGAAUGUAGAAUUGUGAUGCUCACUUUGGUGGAUUGUUACCUAGAAGAGUAGAAGGAGGAAUACAAAAUGGUUGAACCGUAAGAAAAAGGGAUUUGGUACAGGAGGAAAAAUAACAUCUUGAGAGCAUUGUUAGAGACUUAAGAGAAUGCCGGCCUUUGGUGUCCCUGUAAGGGAAUGAGCAGCCUCCAUGAAAAAAGAAAUAAAUAUCCUCAGGGAAGAGACAGGAUUCAAACAGUCAAGGAAGUAGAGAGAACAUUAUUAGGAGGAUGUCAUCCCAGAGGUGGCUUAUAUUGCAUAUGGCAUUUUCUGUUUCAUUGACUUUUUUCUAUUAAGUAUUAUUAAGAUAUUGUUUAAAUUAUUAUGGCUCUAGAAUAAAAUUUAAUUUCUGGUGUUUGAAGUCCAACUUUGUUGCUCUUUUUUCCUUUCAAAGUUUCUUAGUUAUUCUCACUUAAUAAAAUUAUUUCACUGUUAUUCAAACAGAUUUUGAAUAAAUGUAUAUAGUGGGCCUUUGAACAACCCAGG
Molecule: long non-coding RNA, 5025 nt
Organism: Mirounga angustirostris (Northern elephant seal)
Lineage: Eukaryota; Metazoa; Chordata; Mammalia; Carnivora; Phocidae
Exons: 7
Source: RefSeq, a predicted model, not a curated record